UCUUUUCUUUUUCUUUUCCCAUUAAACCUCUGCUCCUAAACUCCUCAUAUGUGUCUGUGUCCUAAAUUUUCUUGGUGCAAGAGGAUGAACCCCAGGUUCAGGGAAUGCAUGUGGAGGUUUGGUACAUGGCGAUAUUGCUUGUUGCUGAGGCUCAGUGUAAGAAUGAUCCUGUCACCAAGGUUUGACCUUGGAAGUCCUCAUGGAGAAAAUUGCAUCUGAGCUGGACCAUGAAAAAUGAGUAGGAUUUCAACAGAUAACAAUGGAAGAGAGCUUGGCACCAUGCUGGAUAAGAACAGAAGAAUUAUCUCCCUGGUGUUGGACAACAGAGGCUGCUAGCGUUAUAUCCUUUUACUAUCAAAUAGCCUUGCCAAAAUGAGUUUGGCAACAUCCUAACAUGUGUCAUGUGAGCUACUCCCAAUCACCAUCCCAAGCUACCCCGAAAAUGCCCCAUGGUGCCCUUUUGUAAAAGCCCAUCACUUUGGCCACACUGCAGAGAAGGAACAAAGCACAGAGGCUCAUCAUUCCAGCAGGGAGGAGGACUUCUGUCCUGACCAGGUAAAACUCCAGAUGCUGCCCCUCUGACAGCCCCCACCCACUCCCACACAUGGUGAUUAAUAUGCCCUAAGAGGCACGGUGGAAUUUUUAAAAGAGCAGCGAACUAUGAUGAAACAGACUGAAUUCAGGUCUUAGCAAUGCUGUUGCACUGUGAUUUGGAGAUGGUCAUUGACCUUUGAAUUUCACUUUUCUUAUCUGCUAGACAGAGAUAAUCAUUUUUCUCCUCCUGCCUGACAGGGUUGUUUUAAAUAGCACAAGAUGUUAAAUGCAUUGUAACUAGAAAGUGUAAUACAACUGAUUCUUGAACAAUGCAAGAAUUAGGGGUGCCGAACCCCGCACAGUAGAAAAUCCAUGUGUAACUUUUUGACUCCCCCAAAACUUAACUACUAAUAGCUUACUGUUGACCAGAAGCUUUGGGAAUAACAAAAACAGUCGAUUAACAUAGAUCUUGUAUGUUAUAUGUAUUAUAGACUUUAUCUUACCAUCAAGUAAGCUAGAAAAAAGAAAACGUCAUUAAGAAAAUCAAAAGGAAGAGAAAAUAUAUUUACUAUUCAUUAAGUGAAAGCAGAUCCUCAUAAAAGUCUUCAACUUCCUUGUCUUCAAAUGAAGAGAAAGAGAAAGGGGAGGGGUUGGCCUUGUUAUCUCAGAGGUGACAGAGGAAGAAAGGAUGAAGGAGGUGGAAGGGGAAGCGGGAGAGGCAGGCACAGUUAGUGUAAUUUUAUUGAAAAAAAAAUCCAUGCAUACAUAGAUCCAUGCAGUUAAGACCUGUGUUAUUCCAAGGUCAGCUGUACAAAUAAAUUUUAGCAGCUGUUUUAUCUGAAAAAUACAAUAAUUAUAUUAUAUAAUAUUACAAAAUCACAUUAUUCCAUAAUAAUGAUAUCUGUUCCAACAAACUCACAAUGUUAGGAAAACCAAAGUCAAUUCUGGUUUUGGUUCAUUCAUUUAUUCAAGCAGUGACUGUAACAGGAACCGGGAUGAACUUGAAUAAUCAGAGCUGAAGAUUAAUGUGGAAUUCCUUCUUAAACGGCAAAGCACCAUGCAGAUGUAAGGUCUUAAAACCGACUCAGAGCCUUGGACACAAUUCAGAAGCAAAGUCCACACUGAAAACUCAGCUAAAAUCAUGCAAAUUAACAUCUUUUUAGCUUUAUGAAAGAAAGAUAAAUUACUGUAUAACUGAAGACUUUCUCCUGGUUAUAUACUACAAAUAAUAAGUUAAACAUUGUUAAAAAUAUGUUAAACUAUUAUUUAAACAUUAGUAUAAUUGGUGCAUAAUAGUUAACUAAACCACACAAUAUGACAUCCAGAAACGUUCUACUAAAUUAGAGAGGGUAAAAACAGUAGAUAUAACCAAAUAUUUUAAAUUCUACUUUAACAUCUAGCCUUCAUAUGCAAAUCAGCAAACAUGAAUUAGCCUGAUGCUCUAAAUAUGAAUCCAAGAAUGUGUUAAACAAUGGUGCUACAAGAGGUUCUAGGACAGAUAGAAAAUAGCAGAUCAAUGCAUUCUGUCCAGCAGGUGAGAUAUUUUGCUGUUUGUUAAUUCCAGCAAAGAAUGGAACUGAUAUUUCUGUGUCAUGAGCAAAAAUAUACUGGAGACAUAUGCAGAGUAGAAAUGAGGCUGGAAUGAAUGUGAAAAUUAAAGGAUAUCUAAGUGAACUGAAAUUCCCUUCACCUGGGAACUAUACACAUUCUAAAAAAGUAACUUGACUGUGAGUUUAUUGCUCUCUUGGCAAAACUAAGAAAUCAAGGUCCCUAUACUGUUAAGGGAAGUUAUAAGGCUAAUAAAAGACAUACAUAGUAUUACAAAGCAGCUGAGUCAUUAUCAUUAAUCAAAUAAUUAUGAGAACAAAAUAACGAGAUGUUGAUAAUAUCCCUGCAUUGUUUCUAGCCAGUCCUGGAAAACUAAAGAUAUCGUUUUUAUCAGUCUUGUGAGACGAGAUUGAGAGCUCAGCUGGAAAACCAGGACCUCAACUGGUCACCUUAUUUUCAUGCUGCAGCUGAAGAGAGCCUUACUCUCACUUCAGACACAUCCACCCACUAAUUGUCCCCAGUGUAUUCACUUCCCCUAUCAAAGUGCUUUCUUGAGUCUCGAUAAUUCAUACAGAAAGGACAUUAUUAGCUCUGCACAGUGAUGCACACCUGUAGUCCCAGCUAAUUGGGAGGCUGAGGCAGGAUGAUGCUUGAGCCCAGGAGUUUGAGGCUAUAGCAUGCCAGGAUGGUGCCGGUGAAGAGACACUGCAUUCCAUUCUGGGCAACAUAGCAAGACCCCGUCUCUAAAAAAGGAAUAAAUAAAUGAAUGAAUGAAUGUUAUUAUCUAUAUUUUAGUUUUUCAUGUAUCCCCAUGGAGACUAGAGAGAUAACCUUUCAGACAGCAUUGCCCACACUGCCUACCGCUCCACUGCCAAACACCUCACCACAUUCCUAACCCACUCUGUAGAUGCAGCCACUUGAGCUCGCUGCUGGUUGGUCACCUCUAUUUCUAUGAAUAUUCACUGAAAUGACUGAAACUCUAGGUGAUUAAAGCUGCUUAGUCUUCCGAGGUCUUAGAGAGUGAAAAUAUGGCAUCAUCUCACACUGCACAUUCUCCAUGUUAUGCAAUCAAACAUUUCAAUAAAGUAGCAAACGUGACAUGUUGGAACAAUUUGUAGAUAAAAUACUGUAAAUAGCUUGCUACCAAAGACUUGGCCUUUGUCACCUACAUUUCUCACCUUACAUUUUUAAAUUUAGUUAUACCAAGUUGCUUGUAAAACCUGUUUUCUAUUGAUGCUAUUUCUUACUAAUUUUACUGAUUGCCUUUGUCAGCAUUUUUUUUUUUUUUGACAGAGCCUUACUCUGUCACCCAAGCUGGAGUGCA
Molecule: long non-coding RNA, 3406 nt
Filed under: Homo sapiens (human)
Lineage: Eukaryota; Metazoa; Chordata; Mammalia; Primates; Hominidae
Description: HSALNT0304825
Source: RNAcentral